This 725-nucleotide ribosomal RNA is filed under the name fungal endophyte. RNAcentral describes it as "eukaryotic LSU rRNA". The stretch from base 400 to 553 matches the Rfam family "5.8S ribosomal RNA". The record is from RNAcentral. Lineage: Eukaryota; Fungi.
CGUAGUGACUGCGGAGGAUCAUUAAAAAUAACAAUAAGCUAACUCGGCUGGUGGGCCUCCCCUAAGGUCGGGGAGUCCCCGCCCAUGAGCGCUUUAACGGGUGUGUUGCGGCCACUAGAGUGUUGGCCGUCUCGCCGGGUCUCGGAAAGCACGGGGAGAAUCCGCGUGCUUACGUGGGGUGUGCCGAAUACGGACCCGGGAUGGCGUGCCGGCAAGUGCCCUUCGGGAGGCACAAGCUCUUGUGAAGAUGGGCAUUCGCCCUUUACGCAGCACAUGACUGAAUCCUUAUUCUACUCGUACCUCUUGUUCUCCUUCGGUGGGGCAACCUGCCGUUGGAACCUUUAUACAACCCUUUUUUUUGCAUCUAGCAUUACCUGUUCUGAUACAAAUAAUCGUUACAACUUUCAACAAUGGAUCUCUUGGCUCUGGCAUCGAUGAAGAACGCAGCGAAAUGCGAUAAGUAGUGUGAAUUGCAGAAUUCAGUGAAUCAUCGAAUCUUUGAACGCACAUUGCGCCCCUUGGUAUUCCAUGGGGCAUGCCUGUUCGAGCGUCAUCUACACCCUCAAGCUCUGCUUGGUGUUGGGCGUCUGUCCCGCCUCGGCGCGCGGACUCGCCCCAAAUCCAUUGGCAGCGGUCUCCGCCUCCUCUCGCGCAGCACAUUGCGCUUCUCGAGGUGCUGCGGCCCGCGUCCAGUAAGCAAUUUACCGUCUUUGACCUCGGAUCAG